This 1338-nucleotide long non-coding RNA is filed under the name Equus caballus (horse). RNAcentral describes it as "lncRNA (ENSECAG00000056422.1)". The record is from RNAcentral. Lineage: Eukaryota; Metazoa; Chordata; Mammalia; Perissodactyla; Equidae.
GUGGUUGAGACAGAUGAUUGUUAACACCUGCCCCCAAAUUCUUUUGGUUAUUUCCUGCAAGCCCUGUGAUGCAGAACUCAGGCCUCUAUGGACCGCUUGUCCAGAUCUAAAGGUGUUUCCUGAGGGCCGAAUUGGCCUCGUAUGCAGGUUCCUCUGCAGACCACAGCAAUGCAUAGAAGAUGCGGCACUGCCUCCUGGCAUGCACACAGGGCCGGCUCCCCCAGCUACACAUCAAACACCAACUCUGCUGCCCAUGCCGGAUGCCAAGUGAGAUAAUAUGUCCUUGCCUCCUGCUUUCCUGAGAUGAGUAACAAAAUAAUCCUAGCUGCUAUCAUUCAUGCGGUAGCCACAAGCUCUAAGCAGGUGCAGAAUAUACUCUUCAUCUGCAAAGUGAGUACUAACAAUAACCCUGCUUUGCAGAUGAUGAAACCAGAGCUUUAAAGAAGCCUCUAACCUAUUACAACUCAUGGUACAGGCAUUUGGUCCCGGGACUACCCAUCUCCAGUAUGAACUCCCUGUAUUUCUCUCUUUUCCUCUGAAAAUCUGUCUCUGUCUUGAUCCCUGGUCUUGGAGGAAGAAAAGUUCUUUCAAUGCAAAGUUUCCUCCUCCAUCUUGAGCUUGGUUUCCUCCUGUCUCCCACUGCACCUCCCUACAUUAACUGUCCCCUCCCUCUCUCAUAUAGAUCAGCCUCUCCUCCCCACUGCCUCUUCCCUACAAAUGCAUUUGGUCUGCCCACCUUCACCAAUCACUCCUGCUUCAUCUGCCUCCUUGCUUCACUGUCAGCUUGUCAAAAGGAAGGGUGUUUCAGUUUGGCCACCUCUUCUGUUCCCUCAUGCACUCCUUGGCUGUCCAGUCACCUACUUGGUGAGCAAAGCCUUGGUCCCUUCCCUGACACUGUGUGUCUUGGGUCCCUUCUCUUCCCUCCUGGAUGGGCACCAUGUCAUCUCCUACCCUUUUGUUUCUCAGUGCCUGGGACUGUGCCCUGAAUAGCAAGGGCGAUGGUGAUGACCUCACAUUCAGAACUGGUCAAAAAUCAAGACAAACACUUCCCAGGGGCAGGGAGCUAGCUGAGGUGGGGCUCCCAGGGAAAUUCCUUUGGGCUGGAGUUCUGUUCAGCAGAAUGACGACACACUAUUGCCAUUUUUAGAGCAGUGAUUACCAAAUGGAAAUACCCUAUUUCACCAGAGACUGAGAUCCGAAGUCACUCGCUUCAUAGCUAAAUGUCAUUUACCUCUUCACUGUAACUGAGGCGCUGAGAAACAAGCACAUGACUACAUGCUAGGGGAUUCAAUUCCUGUUUUUCCUUCCUGUUUGUCCUCUGUUAAAAUAAAAAAAGAA